UUGUCCGGAAUUAUGGGGCGUAAAGCGCGCGCAGGCGGUUCUUUAAGUCUGUUGUGAAAGCCCACGGCUCAACCGCGGAGGGUCAUUGGAAACUGGGGGACUUGAGUGCAGAAGAGGAAAGCGGAAUUCCACGUGUAGCGGUGAAAUGCGUAGAGAUGUGGAGGAACACCAGUGGCGAAGGCGGCUUUCUGGUCUGUAACUGACGCUGAGGCGCGAAAGCGUGGGGAGCAAACAGG
RNAcentral lists this ribosomal RNA (236 nucleotides) under uncultured bacterium. Its description in RNAcentral is "partial 16S ribosomal RNA". It matches the Rfam family "Bacterial small subunit ribosomal RNA", at positions 541 to 776 of the family's 1533-position model. The record is from RNAcentral.